AGAACAGUAUCCACCACACAACAAGAAACAAAGACAAAGCACUACAUUAGGAUCAUACUCUUCAAAAUCAGCCAAAUUGACUACUACACCCAUGAAAAAAGCAACACUGUCAAGUGUUCCAAAACAUAACAAAACAAGAGAAAAAGCUAUAACGGAAAAAUGCAGAGCCCUUCAAAGACGGGCUAUACAAACUUCGAUAAACAAAAGUGCAGUUGGAUAUUUAUUGGAUAUCUGAUCCUCAUCUCACAAUCAAUUCAGCCAAACUCCUUUCCAUCAUUUAAGAUGUUCCAUUAUAUCUUUAGGCACCACUUCUCCAGGACAAUGCCCAAACACUGAACCCAUGUGCACACGAACACAGAUCGAAGAAAAGGCUAAAUACUCUGACAGUUUCCAACAGACAUACAGAGCAAAGGAAACAACUACAAGUGCCAAAUACUACAUAAUCCAGAUGCCCACAAAGAUAGACGCAGUUACUGAGGACCGAUUGAGUGUCAAUAUGUACCAUUUGAUUCUUUAGUCAUUAGAAGCCUGACAUCUAAUAUGCAUUUUUGUUGUUCCACAACCAUGAAUCUGCCAAGUUCCUCUUUUGAACUCUGGAGUUGCACGCCCUUAGAAAGUGAAAUCUGGCAUCUCCACUUGCAGCACCAUCAACCACAGCUAACUGGUUCACUGACAAUAUAUAGCUUGAUCUAUCUGUGGAGGGAUUUGCUUGAUCUCUGUUCCUAAUUCUUGUUCAAUUCUAUACAAAUUGAAGCGAUCCUCAAAAGUAAUCAGGCUAACAGCCAAACCAAGGUGUCCAAAUCUCCCUGAUCGUCCAACCCUGUGCAAAUACGUUUCUGAGUUCUUAGGGAAAUCAAAAUUGAUAACAACGUUAACUGCUUGAAUAUCUAUUCCUCUAGUAAACAAAUCAGUACAAACAAGGUUCCUG
RNAcentral lists this unclassified non-coding RNA (928 nucleotides) under Hevea brasiliensis (rubber tree). Lineage: Eukaryota; Viridiplantae; Streptophyta; Magnoliopsida; Malpighiales; Euphorbiaceae. The record is from RNAcentral.